AUUUUAAAAGAUUUAUUAUAAACAGUGUGCCCUGUUAUGCUGGCAGCAGACUCAUAGAUCUCAUACCCGUUUCUUGCCAGGCACAGUGGCAAUCCCAGCGGCUCAGAGGCUGAGGCAAGAGGAUCUCAAGUUCAAAGCCGACUUCAGCAAUUUAGCAAGAUCCUAAGAAACUUAGUGAGACCCCAUCUCAAAUUUAAAAUAAAAGAGUUAGGGAUGUGGCUCAGUGGUUAAGCACCCUUGGGCUCAAUCCCUGGUACCAAAAACCAAAACCAAAAUAAAGAAAAACCCAACCCUUGUUUCUCCAUAGCAUCAAGAGGCCACAUUGAGUGACUGACCAGCUAGACUUAUAUAAAUGCACUUAAUGUACUCUGAUAUUCCCAUGGACAAAAUUGCCUAGGGAUGAACUUCUCAGAAUGUAUCCCCAUUCUCUUUCAAUUUUCUUUCUUUUUUUUUUUUCUUUAACACUGAGCUGUAUUUCCAGUCCCUUUUUUUUUUUUUUUUUUUUUUGAGACAGGGUCUCAUUAAGUUGCUGAGGCUGGCCUCAAACUUACCAUCCUCCUGCCUCAGCUUCCUCAGUUGCUGGGAUUUCCAGCCCAGGCCACCAUACCAACCUGUUGUGUCCCCACUCUUAAAUAACUCCUGACUGUGCUUACCUCUUACUGAGAACUUAUUGAGUACUGGACAUUGUGCCAAGAACUUCACAAACAUCACCUACUUUCGAAUUUCACAGCAACCUAAGGGGCAUUACUCUCCCCAGCUUUCAAGCAAGGAAACUAAAAAUUAAAAAGAACAUGUAAAUGUCCCCUAAUCACACAGUUAGCAAAUGACAGAAGUAGGAUUUGAACCAAGGUGGAGGAGAAACUCAGAAACACCACCGUUCGGUGUCUGAGUCCACAUCAUGGUUCUGGUAUUAUACCUUCUCUCUUCUGUGAUCCACGCAUAUUUAUCAUUUAGCUUAUUUUCCAAGGAUGCAGCUGUGCUUCUCAGGGGGAACUGGUGUUGCUGAUGUCCCUGUGAGGCACAGGCUGUAGACAUCCAAUUAUUUUUCUAAGGUAAUAUAUUUUUUCCUUUCUCAUAACCCUGUUUUUUUCCCCUAGCACUAAGUGUCACUUGAUAUUUUAUAUCUACUGCAUUAUCAAGAUGUGGUCUGGUGGCCCAAGUGAAAGGAAAACUCCAAGGCAGGGGCUACAUCCGUCCUGUUUCCCUCUCGACUACCCAGGGCUUAGAACAGUGCCAAGCACAAAGUGGGAACCGAAUUAGUAUAUAUUUGUCAAAUAAAUGAACAAGGGCAGGGACGGCUUUGCAAUCGUUCCUGUGCAUUAUUUGUUCCUGGCUCCUUCCAUCUAGUGACCAUGUCUCUAGAAUUAUCUAGCCAGUGACUGGGUUAGAUUGUAACAUACUCUAUGAACGUGCAUCCCAGACAAUGGGAGACACAGUCUCAGAAUCCCUGGUGGGGUUUCCCCCAAAUAAAUUCGCUUGCCCGUUUGUUCCUAACCUCAAUCCCACCCUCUCUUUCUGACCCUUCUGUUUUACUCUCCUAAGAACUCUCUGAGGGCAGGGUACAUAUCUGAGUCAUGUUUGGUAUUCCACACUUGGUACUCUUCCAGCACUCUGCAACUGUGCGGGAAAUUAGUGAAUCGCACUCGUGGUCUUGGUCUCUUUAACAUGGUGCUCCAACCACCUGGGCCAACAAUGGCUCCAUCUACACAUGUUUGAGGACCAAAGCUGCCUUGAGCUGGGCGCAGUGGUGCAUGUCUGUAAUCCCAGUGGCCUGGGAGGCUGAGGCAGGAGGAUCCUGAAUUCAAAGCCAGCCUCAGCAACUUGGCGAGGCCCUAAGCAACUUAGCAAGACCCUUCUCUAAAAAAAGAAAAAAAAAACUGGCUUGGCUUGCCUUGAAGGCGGAAUCUAACUGGGUUGAUGAUUUUAGCUCUGCAGGGCCAGGAGAGGGAGAUGGGGAGGGAAGGAAGCUCUUGCUGAGGGUCCUACCUGCAUGCAUGCCAGGGUCCUAUCCAUUGCCGUCCCCAGGAGUGAUAUAAACCUAAGAACCUCACCAAUAGAAAUAGAUUAGGAAGAUUAAAACAGCAUCCCAACUAGGUUUGAACAUCACUCUGGAGCAGGUUUCUUAGCUCACCCACUCUGAAGGUCUUUCUCUGCAAAAUGGAAACAACAGUAACUUAUUGGGUCGCUGAGAAUAAAGGGAGAGGGUGUAUACAAACAACUAAAAAAAAAAGCCAUUAGUAAAUUGAUUAUCAGCUUUGAAAUACAAUGCUGAUGAAGGGGAUGAUUAGUGGACAGUAGGAGGCUCCCCAAAGGUCUGGGAGAGGACCCUCCCUCUGGCCUCCCUCCUUGGCCGCUCCCCAGAUGCUUGACAUUCCAGCCCGUGGCCCUCAGAAGCCCAGGUUUACAUGCAGAUUGUAUCUGGUACUGUUAAUGGCAUUCAUUCACCUUAUUAGCACCUUCACUGUAAUCAGAUUAGCCUCAGUUGAAAAAUAAAAAAGUCCUGGGCCCAGAAAUGUGAGGGGAAAGGUAAAGAAGAGGGUUCACAGGACACAAAAAAAAGGUCCUUAACUGCAGGUGGCCUUGGUGGAAUGAUAAAGAGGCGUGAGAAGCUGUGAGCACAGCAGGUGCCCUCUGUGGACCCUGAGCUGGGGGAUGGAUGGACAGGUAUAGGGAUGCAUGGGGCCCUGCUCUUCUCAGUGUGUGUCUGCAGGAGGCCACUGGGAUGAAUGUACUUGUGUUGAUUAAUUUAUUUACUGACUUAUUAAAAAAAAUUAAGGCAUUAAAGGCUCUGUGUGAUCCUGUCAUUUCUCAAUCAAAAGACUUUAAAGUUUCAACCACUCUCCUAGGGAGGGUAAGGGGAGAGAAAGAGGAGAACUAGUAUGUAGGGUCUUAUUUUUUAGAUCAGUUUUAUCUUCACAGAAAAACUGAGCAGAGUACAGAGUCCCCAUGUCCUUCCUCUCAUCCCCUUUCCUUUCCCCUGUCAUUAACAACUAACCAUGGUGUGAUACAUUUGUUGCAAUUGAUAACUGAUAUUGAAACAUCAUUAUUGACUAAAGUGUACAGCUGACAUUAGGCUUCACUCUGUGUUGUGAAGUCCUAGACAUUUUGCCUAAUCCACAAUGUCCUGAUCCCAUCACUAUCACAUCAUAUACAAGGGUGACAGUGUGCAGAAAGUCCCCUUGAUGGGUCCUUAUCCCAAAGGCUGGUUUAGACUUGGGACUCGAUUGGGGGAGUGACUUUUUGUGAUAAGCACAAGUUAGGGGUGCAGCACCUGGGGAGAGACACAGUCCCACAUGUGGGUCCCUUGGAGGGGUAGAGAGAAGGCGGAUCUCAGCCUCUGUGGGACACGAUUCAAAGUUUCUUUAUUUCCUACCCCAUUUAUUUUCCCCUUCCUUCUUGCCUUUCCUUUCUUAAUACUUUUCCCUCUUUAGGUUUCAAAUCUUUUGGCAGGUACUUAAUAAAAUUGGGAAGGCCCUUUGUCAUUGGUUCUUAACCCCAAGUUACACAUUUGACUUUCAUAGAAGUAUUUAAAAAGUCAUCCUGAUGCCUGGGGCCCAUCCUGGUUUGGUUUAAUCAGAUUUUCUGCAGAUGAGGUCCAGGUCCAGGGCCUUAUUCAGACUCUCCCAGUGGUCCUAAGGGCAACCAGGGUCCUAGGUAAUGUACCUGUAGCCACUCAGAUUCUCAGGGGGUGCUGAGGUCCAGAGAGCUGGGCCUCCUUUGGGAAGGAGUGUCCCCCCUACUGUACAGGAAGAGAUCACAGGUGUCUUUAUUGGGAAGGUGUCCAGGCAGAGAUUGUUUCAUGUUCUCACACAUGUUCACAGAUAGAAACUGGAUGUUGGGGUCCAUCCUAUUGAAAUAGUGAAAAUUGGGGAAAACCUAAAUGUACACAAAGAGCAGAUGAUUACAUAAAAGUGGCAGCCCAAAGCACUACAUAGCAAUUUUUUUUGAAUAUUUAUUUUUUAGUUGUAGUUGGACACAAUACCUUUAUUUUAUUUAUUUAAAUGUGGUGCUGAGGAUCGAACCCAGGGCCUCGCACAUGCUAGAUGAACACUUUACUGCUGAGCCACAACCCCAGCCCUACAUAGCAAUUUAAACAAAUGACACCAAACCUGUACAUAUUGACACACAGGGCAAUAUUCAAAAGAAGCAACCCCAGUGCUGGGGGUGUGGCUCGGCUGUGGCUUGGUGGUAGGGCCAUUUGGCAUGCAAAAAGCUUGGGGUUCAAUCCCAGCAGCGCCAGUACACGUGUGCAUGUGUGUGCACCCACAUACAAACAAGAAAGAAAAGAAAUGAAAUAUGUCACUCUGGUCUGAGCACGGGUGGUGACCAGAAACUGGCCCUGCUGUUAUGCUGGUACAUCCAGGAGGAACAUCAGUUCUGCUGACACAUGAAAAAAAAAUCAUCUCCAGGGUGUUGUUAAGUGGAAAAUGUCAGUCCUAGCACAGCAUGC
Molecule: long non-coding RNA, 4450 nt
Filed under: Marmota monax (woodchuck)
Lineage: Eukaryota; Metazoa; Chordata; Mammalia; Rodentia; Sciuridae
Source: RNAcentral